AGAGUUUGAUCCUGGCUCAGGAUGAACGCUAGCGGCAGGCCUAAUACAUGCAAGUCGAACGGUGAUAGCAAUAUCAUAGUGGCGCACGGGUGCGUAACACGUAUGCAACCUACCUAUUAUUGGGGGAUAGCCUUUGGAAACGGAGAUUAAUACCGCAUAAUACGAUUGACUGGCAUCGGUUGAUUGUUAAAGCUUCGGCGAUAAUAGAUGGGCAUGCGUCCAAUUAGUUAGUUGGUUAGGUAACGGCUGACCAAGACGAUGAUUGGUAGGGGAUCUGAGAGGAUAAUCCCCCACACUGGCACUGAGAUACGGGCCAGACUCCUACGGGAGGCAGCAGUAGGGAAUAUUGGGCAAUGGGCGGAAGCCUGACCCAGCCAUGCCGCGUGCAGGAAGAAGGCGUUAUGCGUUGUAAACUGCUUUUUUAUAGGAAGAAGGAUCCCUUGCGAGGGAAGGUGACGGUACUAUAAGAAUAAGCACCGGCUAACUCCGUGCCAGCAGCCGCGGUAAUACGGAGGGUGCAAGCGUUGUCCGGAUUUAUUGGGUUUAAAGGGUGCGUAGGCGGUUUAUUAAGUCAGUGGUGAAAGACGGUCGCUCAACGAUUGCAGUGCCAUUGAUACUGGUAGACUUGAGUGAG
RNAcentral lists this ribosomal RNA (634 nucleotides) under uncultured bacterium. RNAcentral describes it as "bacterial SSU rRNA". It matches the Rfam family "Bacterial small subunit ribosomal RNA", at positions 8 to 650 of the family's 1533-position model. The record is from RNAcentral.